RNAcentral lists this ribosomal RNA (466 nucleotides) under uncultured bacterium. RNAcentral describes it as "partial 16S ribosomal RNA". It matches the Rfam family "Bacterial small subunit ribosomal RNA", at positions 28 to 507 of the family's 1533-position model. The record is from RNAcentral.
GGUGAACGCUGGCGGCGUGCUUAACACAUGCAAGUCGAACGAUGAAGCCCAGCUUGCUGGGUGGAUUAGUGGCGAACGGGUGAGUAACACGUGAGUAACCUGCCCUUAACUCUGGGAUAAGCCUGGGAAACUGGGUCUAAUACCGGAUAGGAGCGCCUACCGCAUGGUGGGUGUUGGAAAGAUUUAUCGGUUUUGGAUGGACUCGCGGCCUAUCAGCUUGUUGGUGAGGUAAUGGCUCACCAAGGCGACGACGGGUAGCCGGCCUGAGAGGGUGACCGGCCACACUGGGACUGAGACACGACCCAGACUCCUACGGGAGGCAGCAGUGGGGAAUAUUGCACAAUGGGCGAAAGCCUGAUGCAGCGACGCCGCGUGAGGGAUGACGGCCUUCGGGUUGUAAACCUCUUUCAGUAGGGAAGAAGCGAAAGUGACGGUACCUGCAGAAGAAGCACCGGCUAACUACGUG